GUUUGGGGAGGCAGAAAGGGGCAGGCAGCUUGCUCCUGACUCCCACGUGGAGGGGCGCAGGGAGGCCUUCCCAGAGACUCCAAACCCAGGGGUACAGUCGGUUCUUCGGUGCCUUCUUGGCUUCUCUGCUGCUUGAGACUUCAGGAGCCCCCAAGACUUGGUCACCGAGGUGCCACAGGCGCCGGCCUUGACCGCACUCUCCCGCGGGCCCCGGGGCUGCUUUCCCCGGCUUUACCUUUG
This 240-nucleotide long non-coding RNA is filed under the name Homo sapiens (human). Its description in RNAcentral is "long non-coding RNA NONHSAT211112". The record is from RNAcentral. Lineage: Eukaryota; Metazoa; Chordata; Mammalia; Primates; Hominidae.